CCCGGGCCUUGACUUUGACACGUGAUGUAUAUGGAUACAGUUUAUUCUGAAAGGCUUAAUAAAAUCAUGGUAUGGCCCCUUUAAGGGGUCCUGGAAGCAGCAGAGUGGGAUUCCAACAGGAAGUUGGGAUUUCUAACUGUUGCAUUGUGGGAAUGUUUUCCAGAAAACUAAAAACAUUGAAGCAAAGACAUGAAUGUAUUUAGUUUCUGUAAAGCUAAACAAACCCAAGUGACAAUGAGACUCACAGAGUAACAAGUUGUCAGCUUCCUCACAGAUUUCAUUGUUUAUUUUCCCGUCUUUCCUUCUGCUCCGUCUCUGCAACGCCGGCCUUGAACUUGAGCUCGGCACACACCGAACAGCCUCGCCUCGCCGCCGUAGCGCAGCCUCCCACACACACAGAUGGUCGGAGAGAUGCUGCGGCAAUUAGGCUGAUCCAUUCGGAGCCUGCGACUGUAACAAGGAGAAGGACGCCUACCGCCGGAUCCCGCUGCUCUCUGAGGGUCAAAUGCAGGAAGAAGUCUGAAACCAGACGGAUGCAGAGGGAGGAGACACCUGACUGGAUCUGCACCUGAGUGGAUGACUCAGUUUGAUCUUAUUAGAAGAGUGGAGCAAUCAGUGAGGAGGAAGAGAACGGCAGUGAGGAGAGCAGGCAAGGAGGAAUAUCGCUUUUCAGAGCAGAGCUGUGGAAAAAAGCAACAAAAACCAAAAAACCUCCAGCUUGAAGGGUGAAAACUUCCUGAAGAGCAAACAAACUAUGAUUUGGGAUCAGCUGAUGAAGAGGUGGAUGAUGCUCAUUUUAAUGAUGAAUGCAAUCUUCUGGGAAAAUACAAAAAAAA
Molecule: RNA transcript, 836 nt
Organism: Oryzias melastigma (Indian medaka)
Lineage: Eukaryota; Metazoa; Chordata; Actinopteri; Beloniformes; Adrianichthyidae
Exons: 2
Source: RefSeq, a predicted model, not a curated record